GAGAGAGAGAGAGCAGCAGGGUGUGUCUAUAAAAGUGGAUAUGUUCGGAGUAAAAAGUCUCACACCUGAGUUGGAUUGGGUGAGACAUUAACUUUGGGUGAACCGACCCGUAGCGCGUGCACGGGCUGCUUUGUGCGUACAUCGGAAGUGAGUCAUCGGCGCUGCGCUGUUAGCGUGGGUGUGUGCGCUGUUAAAAACGAGGCUCAGGCUGCUCCGUGUGACUCACUCUGAUGCUGGGCUGAUCACAGGAACUUUUUGGAAACGGUGCAGCCCCAAAGACUCCAUGGCUCCAAACGCUUUGUGCGCACUGUGCGGAUUUAUUCUAGCGGCUGUCACCAGCCUCCACUGCGCGAGCGCACAGAAAAGUAAAUCUGUGGACGAGACGCAUGACGUGUGGAAGCUGGCAGCCAUCACCAGUUUCUCGGUGCUCGCUGUGGUGCUGGUGGGGGCCGCGUUGAUCAUCGGGGUCAUGGUUCUUCGACGCAAGUCACACAAGCGCCCUCUACGUGGUGAGCUUCACACGUAUUAUCCCAGCCAUACACGCCUCUGUGUAUAUGUUUUUUUUCUUUCUAGUUUUGUUUUAUGGCGGGUUAAACAUAACGUUGACAUCUCCUCGUUUUUUAAGGAGUUGAAAUGGUUUGUUGUUGUCACGACGAUGUUAACAGAAUGA
This 670-nucleotide long non-coding RNA is filed under the name Gouania willdenowi (blunt-snouted clingfish). RNAcentral's name for it is "lncRNA (ENSGWIG00000008008.1)". The record is from RNAcentral. Lineage: Eukaryota; Metazoa; Chordata; Actinopteri; Blenniiformes; Gobiesocidae.